AGUUGCCAGCAUUCGGUUGGGCACUCUAGAGGGACUGCCGGCGACAAGUCGGAGGAGGGUGGGGAUGACGUCAAAUCAUCAUGCCCCUUAUGACCUGGGCUACACACGUGCUACAAUGGGCGGUACAAAGGGCUGCGAACCCGCGAGGGGGGAGCGAAUCCCAAAAAGCCGCUCUCAGUUCGGAUUGCAGGCUGCAACUCGCCUGCAUGAAGCCGGAAUCGCUAGUAAUCGCGGAUCAGCAUGCCGCGGUGAAUACGUUCCCGGGCCUU
Molecule: ribosomal RNA, 269 nt
Filed under: uncultured Geobacillus sp.
Lineage: Bacteria; Bacillati; Bacillota; Bacilli; Caryophanales; Anoxybacillaceae
Description: partial 16S ribosomal RNA
Rfam family: Bacterial small subunit ribosomal RNA
Source: RNAcentral